AUUGAACGCUGGCGGCAUGCCUUACACAUGCAAGUCGAACGGCAGCACGGGUGCUUGCACCUGGUGGCGAGUGGCGAACGGGUGAGUAAUACAUCGGAACAUGUCCUGUAGUGGGGGAUAGCCCGGCGAAAGCCGGAUUAAUACCGCAUACGAUCUACGGAUGAAAGCGGGGGACCUUCGGGCCUCGCGCUAUAGGGUUGGCCGAUGGCUGAUUAGCUAGUUGGUGGGGUAAAGGCCUACCAAGGCGACGAUCAGUAGCUGGUCUGAGAGGACGACCAGCCACACUGGGACUGAGACACGGCCCAGACUCCUACGGGAGGCAGCAGUGGGGAAUUUUGGACAAUGGGCGAAAGCCUGAUCCAGCAAUGCCGCGUGUGUGAAGAAGGCCUUCGGGUUGUAAAGCACUUUAGUCCGGAAAGAAAUCCUUGGCCCUAAUACGGUCGGGGGAUGACGGUACCGGAAGAAUAAGCACCGGCUAACUACGUG
This 486-nucleotide ribosomal RNA is filed under the name uncultured bacterium. RNAcentral's name for it is "partial 16S ribosomal RNA". It matches the Rfam family "Bacterial small subunit ribosomal RNA", at positions 30 to 507 of the family's 1533-position model. The record is from RNAcentral.